GGUCUUAUGGCGCAAUUGGUUAGCGCGUCCGGCUGUUAACCACCUUCUCUAAAGUUAAGCCUUUCCUCUGAGGGCAUUUGGAAUUGAGUUUAGCAACUUACCGGGAGGUUGAAAGUUCGAGUCUUUCUAGGACCG
This 135-nucleotide transfer RNA is filed under the name Terfezia boudieri ATCC MYA-4762. It matches the Rfam family "tRNA". Rfam says of the family: Transfer RNA (tRNA) molecules are approximately 80 nucleotides in length. Their secondary structure includes four short double-helical elements and three loops (D, anti-codon, and T loops). The record is from Rfam by way of RNAcentral. Lineage: Eukaryota; Fungi; Ascomycota; Pezizomycetes; Pezizales; Pezizaceae.